Long non-coding RNA from Armigeres subalbatus, 641 nucleotides. RefSeq lists it as uncharacterized. Lineage: Eukaryota; Metazoa; Arthropoda; Insecta; Diptera; Culicidae. The record is from RefSeq and is a predicted model, not a curated record. The transcript is spliced from 3 exons.
CGCAAAACAAAAACAAAGUUUCAGAUUAGGCCUUUGAUUACAAGUUAUAAGUGAGUUUAUUUUUUAAGUUUCAACGACUUUUUUGGAAACAAAUAAAAAAGAUUGCUAAAACAGUAAAGGAUUCAUUGGUACCGUGAAGAAGCGUUUCGAAAGGAGAUUGCCAAGGUAAGCGGAACUGCUUAGAUGGCUCAGCAGAUAAAUAAGAUCCCGUCGACGUUUGUCGCGUCCCGUUAUCUGAACUCGUUUCCGGAAAGUUCCGUUUAGGAUUACUCCACCAACUGAGCCGAGUGUGUGCCAUGCUCAAUCGAGUUGAAAGGAAAGAAAAUAAAUCACCAUGAAUAUAUGAUCUAUUACGUGUCCAAAAUGGAACAAAAUUAGCCCGAGAAUGGAUUAUAGAAUCUGCACCUGGCAUGGAUCAAUCUUAUCAAACUUAUCUGCUUAUCUGUAGGAUCACUUGAUAUCGCUAUCGGCGAGAAAGUGAAGAUGUUGGUGGAACAGAUGCGUUGCAUCUCGUACCUUGGUAUUAUCGUUUACGUGCUAGAACCGGUAGGGAUGUUUGGACCCAUCCUAUUCCGCAGUUCUAUGUGGUUGUGUCAUUGCUAGGAUUUCAUCAGAUCGGUCAGUGAAGAGCGCUUAGUUGA